RNAcentral lists this long non-coding RNA (2709 nucleotides) under Salmo trutta (river trout). RNAcentral's name for it is "lncRNA (ENSSTUG00000028089.1)". The record is from RNAcentral. Lineage: Eukaryota; Metazoa; Chordata; Actinopteri; Salmoniformes; Salmonidae.
ACAUUUGAUAUUUUUGAAGAGACAUUUGUAGCCUGCAUGUUUUCAUGGACGUGCUUGCUCAGCUGUUAAAUUGUUACAACUUGAUUGACGAGGGAAUAUUUGUAAGGAAUAAAAUACAUUUACUGAACCUAUUUUUUUUUUUUUUUUACAACGACGAGUAUCCCUGCAUAUAUUAAAGUGUUUUAUAUUGGUCUGCAAACUGCCUAUGCGAUUAUUCGUAUUUCUUGAUGGGAGACUUUCAUGCAGGCUGUGAAAAAACCUACAGAUGUUUUGGAAACUCUGUCGCUGACUCAGUUCUUAUCUUGGACAAACAAUCAUGGCGCGCCAUGGGCCUAGUUUAGUUUUCCAUUCUGCAAGACUUCCUCCAAUGUUUUUGCUGAAACCCGAUUUUAUGUGUUUACUGUGUCUUUUUUAAAAAGUGGCCAAGGGCAGUUUUUGUCAUUUUUCUCCAGGGAAGGGUGAAUGCAAGCUGACUUAAAAUCACACAUUUGAGUGUUGCCUGAGUUGAAGUAGGCCUCUGAGUUGGAUCAGAGUACAACUGUCAACAGGAGAUGAGUCUGACGACAUGCACAGACAAGCAGAUGCUACUGAAUGCCUCUGAGAGCUGUUCCAAUGCACACAUGGGUCUUCGCUACAUAUGAACAGCGCAAUGAGUCAACGGCCAUCCCUCGUCCCUCAUACACAGAAGACCCCCAGCCCAGAGGCAGUGGCAUCAUCCCAGGAGCCAUUGCAGCAGCAGUGUUCAUUGGUUUCGUACUGGGUCUCUAUGCAGUUCUGUGGAAGUGUAUGGUCUCACCACCCCAAAGGAAGAAGAGGAGGGUGAGGGUUAGAGACAAGAGGAGCCAAGUAUGCUGACUGACCAUCAGGAUCUCAUCUAGGCCAUCUGGCCAGAGGAUCCAAUGGAUUCAACUCAUGCAUCAAACCCCGGCCAGUCAAAUCCACUCAUACUGACUUGAGUCUCUCAUCAGGAUGUUCCUGAACAUCUGAGGGGAAAUUGAGAUUCAGAAACAUUUGCAUAGAGCUAGGGGAUGGCACAUUAUGGAUCUAGCAUAUCAUGGUCAGAGGAUGGACCGGUAUCUAAGGAUCCGGUCAAAUGGAUCUAAAAGGAUUUUCUAAAUUGCCUUAAGAGGAUCCACUCAAAUGGCUAAAGGAUCCAACUGAAGUGCAUCAGAGAGCAUGAACAAACAAUCUAAAUCAGUUAAGCUGGGGUCUGCAGACCCAUCAAAUGUAAAACAAAUUAUAUGUACAUUUAAAAAAAAAUUAUAAUAAUAAUCUAUUACUAACAGGUUAAACACAUUUUUGCAAGGGAUCUGUUGAAGUAGUUUAGAGUGUAAUACAAUAAAAUGUCAUAUUAUUAAUAUACAAUUUAUGUUCUUAAACCCUGGACAUAGUGGGCCUGGGAGGCUCACAGGGAUAUUGGCAUCUACAGUACUCCACCAAUUAUACAUUUUUCAGCUCAAUAACCCAAAGUGUGUGUGUGUGUGUGUGUGUGUGUGUUUUAAACUGAAGUUUUCUUUCUGCCUCAUGGGAAAAUGUGUAGAAUUGCAGAAUAUUUGCCCCAUGACAAAAUAUGUGGAAAUAUAGGAAAUGUCAAGAGGCUGGCCUUUUAAAAGGUUCCUUCCCAGGACCGAGCCUUGGUUCAUCCGGCCAUGCUCUGCCCAAGUCAUAGUAAAACACCUUGUAUGCUAUUUUUCUCACUCAAGUUGUUCUGAUUGAGGUCGUCCCUUAUAUAUUUGCUAUCACAAAAGGGGUCCCCGGGCCCCAAUAGUUUGAGAAAUCUAGGAUCCACUGUAUGCCACAGUGCUAUGCCUCCGUGAGAUGCUGACUUUAACUGAAGCGUAGCUACACUGUUAAGUGUACACUGUUGUGUCUGCGGGUCACUGACAGUUGACAGUGAACUCUCUGUACUACUGAGGAAGGAGGCAGCACAGGUCACUGUUCUUCCUAUCGGUCAACAAGCCUACUGGCCUGGCAAACAUGUGGGUAUGUUUUUUUUUUCUUCUCCGUUUGGGUGAAAGUGUGUGUGUGUGUGUGUGUGUGUGUGUGUGUGUGUAGCUUUUGAUUAGGGUUGACUACAUGUGUUGCAAAGGAAAGUGUCUAUGAAUGGGAAAUUUGCUAAUACUUUUUAUAUUGGGUUGUGCAUGUGAUAUGAUGGCUUUAGGUGAAUGAUUGAGCUGGAGUUUUUGUGUAUUUCAAAUUCUUUGAUUUGAGUGAAUGGUCUUAUGAUAUCCAUGUUUUGUCAUGUUACAUUUCCUCAGGAUGUGACUUACUGUUCCUUUUAUUAAACUGUGAUUUGUGUUCUUGCACUUUUACUGAGUUUUCCUUUUAUCAGAGUUAAAUCUGAAUUACUACUUAGUGUUGGGAUGAAUGUACAUUCACUGAUUAACAAACAAUGCAAAUUAUGUAACGGAAUACUAGGAAAGGAGAGGUUUUAAAAUGAAUCAGCUCUAUCAAAUACUAACACAUUGUGUUACUGGGAGGUCCUGAAGUCAUACAAAACUAGAUGAAUCUAAGGAAUUCAAGUCUUAAGUCCUUUGGGUUUUAUGUAAAUAAUAAACUUGUAAAAUGUUCAAACUGUCCUGUUGUAGUUUUAAUGGAGCGUGGCCCUCAACCACAAUGUCUAUAUUUGGUCUCUGCUGUGUUUAGCACAGUGGGUGCACGGUAUGAGAGGUUCCUGCAGGGCAGUGGGGGAUUCAUCGUGGUGUGGGG